Molecule: ribosomal RNA, 238 nt
Filed under: uncultured bacterium
Lineage: Bacteria
Description: partial 16S ribosomal RNA
Rfam family: Bacterial small subunit ribosomal RNA
Source: RNAcentral
UGAGGAACAUGACCUUCGGCGGGGGAUAGCCGGCCCAACGGCCGGGUAAUACCGCGUACGACCUUUUGGGGACAUCCCCGAAUGGUGAAAGCAGCAAUGCGCCGAUGGAGUGCCUCGCGGCCUAUCAGCUAGUUGGUGAGGUAACGGCUCACCAAGGCAACGACGGGUAGCUGGUCUGAGAGGAUGGCCAGCCACAGUUGGGACUGAGACACGGCCCAGACUCCGUACGGGAGGNACG